Molecule: transfer RNA, 75 nt
Filed under: Candidatus Tayloriibacteriota bacterium
Lineage: Bacteria; Candidatus Tayloriibacteriota
Description: tRNA-Phe
Rfam family: tRNA
About the family: Transfer RNA (tRNA) molecules are approximately 80 nucleotides in length.
Source: RNAcentral
GGAGAGAUGGCUGAGUGGUUAAGGCACCGGGCUAAAGAUCCGGCCACGUAGGUUCGAUUCCUGCUCUCUCCGCCA